GAGGGUGUAGCUCAACUGGUAGAGCACAUGCUUAGCAUGCAUGCGGUCCUAGGUUCAAUCCCCAGUAUCUCCA
Molecule: transfer RNA, 73 nt
Filed under: Camelus bactrianus (Bactrian camel)
Lineage: Eukaryota; Metazoa; Chordata; Mammalia; Artiodactyla; Camelidae
Also listed under: 2 other names
Rfam family: tRNA
About the family: Transfer RNA (tRNA) molecules are approximately 80 nucleotides in length. Their secondary structure includes four short double-helical elements and three loops (D, anti-codon, and T loops).
Source: Rfam by way of RNAcentral